RNAcentral lists this ribosomal RNA (254 nucleotides) under uncultured bacterium. RNAcentral describes it as "partial 16S ribosomal RNA". It matches the Rfam family "Bacterial small subunit ribosomal RNA", at positions 524 to 776 of the family's 1533-position model. The record is from RNAcentral.
UACAGAGGUCCCGAGCGUUGUUCGGAUUCACUGGGCGUAAAGGGCGCGUAGGCGGUCGUGACAAGUCACUUGUGAAAUCUCCGGGCUUAACUCGGAACGGUCAAGUGAUACUGUCGGACUAGAGUACAGAAGGGGCAACUGGAAUUCUCGGUGUAGCGGUGAAAUGCGUAGCUAUCGAGAGGAACACCUGCGGCGAAGGCGGGUUGCUGGGCUGAUACUGACGCUGAGGCGCGAAAGCCAAGGGAGCGAACGGG